GAUGAACGCUGGCGGCGUGCCUAAUACAUGCAAGUCGAGCGAACAGAUGAGGAGCUUGCUCCUCUGACGUUAGCGGCGGACGGGUGAGUAACACGUGGAUAACCUACCUAUAAGACUGGGAUAACUUCGGGAAACCGGAGCUAAUACCGGAUAAUAUAUUGAACCGCAUGGUUCAAUAGUGAAAGACGGUUUUGCUGUCACUUAUAGAUGGAUCCGCGCCGCAUUAGCUAGUUGGUAAGGUAACGGCUUACCAAGGCAACGAUGCGUAGCCGACCUGAGAGGGUGAUCGGCCACACUGGAACUGAGACACGGUCCAGACUCCUACGGGAGGCAGCAGUAGGGACUCUUCCGCAAUGGGCGAAAGCCUGACGGAGCAACGCCGCGUGAGUGAUGAAGGUCUUCGGAUCGUAAAACGCUGUUAUUAGGGAAGAACAAAUGUGUAAGUAACUAUGCACGUCUUGACGGUACCUAAUCAGAAAGCCACGGCUAACUACGU
RNAcentral lists this ribosomal RNA (496 nucleotides) under uncultured bacterium. RNAcentral's name for it is "partial 16S ribosomal RNA". It matches the Rfam family "Bacterial small subunit ribosomal RNA", at positions 28 to 506 of the family's 1533-position model. The record is from RNAcentral.